GGGUUGUGAGGUUAAGCGACUAAGCGUACACGGUGGAUGCCCUGGCAGUCAGAGGCGAUGAAGGGCGUGCUAAUCUGCGAUAAGCGCCGGUAAGGUGAUAUGAACCGUUAUAACCGGCGAUACCCGAAUGGGGAAACCCAGUGUGAUUCGUCACACUAUCAUUAACUGAAUCCAUAGGUUAAUGAGGCGAACCGGGGGAACUGAAACAUCUAAGUACCCCGAGGAAAAGAAAUCAACCGAGAUUCCCCCAGUAGCGGCGAGCGAACGGGGAGGAGCCCAGAGCCUGAAUCAGCAUGUGUGUUAGUGGAAGCGUCUGGAAAGGCGCGCGAUACAGGGUGACAGCCCCGUACACAAAAGCGCAUGUGCUGUGAGCUCGAUGAGUAGGGCGGGACACGUGGUAUCCUGUCUGAAUAUGGGGGGACCAUCCUCCAAGGCUAAAUACUCCUGACUGACCGAUAGUGAACCAGUACCGUGAGGGAAAGGCGAAAAGAACCCCGGCGAGGGGAGUGAAAAAGAACCUGAAACCGUGUACGUACAAGCAGUGGGAGCACCCUUUGGGGUGUGACUGCGUACCUUUUGUA
RNAcentral lists this ribosomal RNA (581 nucleotides) under Salmonella enterica subsp. enterica serovar Johannesburg. Its description in RNAcentral is "bacterial LSU rRNA". It matches the Rfam family "Bacterial large subunit ribosomal RNA", at positions 1 to 612 of the family's 2925-position model. Lineage: Bacteria; Pseudomonadati; Pseudomonadota; Gammaproteobacteria; Enterobacterales; Enterobacteriaceae. The record is from RNAcentral.